This 468-nucleotide ribosomal RNA is filed under the name uncultured bacterium. RNAcentral describes it as "partial 16S ribosomal RNA". It matches the Rfam family "Bacterial small subunit ribosomal RNA", at positions 28 to 507 of the family's 1533-position model. The record is from RNAcentral.
GACGAACGCUGGCGGCGUGCUUAACACAUGCAAGUCGAACGGAAAGGCCCUGCUUUUGUGGGGUGCUCGAGUGGCGAACGGGUGAGUAACACGUGAGUAACCUGCCCUUGACUUUGGGAUAACUUCAGGAAACUGGGGCUAAUACCGGAUAGGAGCUCCUGCUGCAUGGUGGGGGUUGGAAAGUUUCGGCGGUUGGGGAUGGACUCGCGGCUUAUCAGCUUGUUGGUGGGGUAGUGGCUUACCAAGGCUUUGACGGGUAGCCGGCCUGAGAGGGUGACCGGCCACAUUGGGACUGAGAUACGGCACAGACUCCUACGGGAGGCAGCAGUGGAGAAUAUUGCACAAUGGGCCGAAGCCUGAUGCAGCAACGCCGCGUGCGGGAUGACGGCCUUCGGGUUGUAAACCGCUUUCGCCUGUGACGAAGCGUGAGUGACGGUAAUGGGUAAAGAAGCACCGGCUAACUACGUG